RNAcentral lists this ribosomal RNA (450 nucleotides) under uncultured bacterium. RNAcentral's name for it is "partial 16S ribosomal RNA". It matches the Rfam family "Bacterial small subunit ribosomal RNA", at positions 354 to 796 of the family's 1533-position model. The record is from RNAcentral.
GUGGGGAAUUUUGGACAAUGGGGGCAACCCUGAUCCAGCCAUUCCGCGUGAGUGAAGAAGGCCUUCGGGUUGUAAAGCUCUUUCGGCAGGAACGAAACGGUGAGCUCUAACAUAGCUCGCUAAUGACGGUACCUGAAGAAGAAGCACCGGCUAACUACGUGCCAGCAGCCGCGGUAAUACGUAGGGUGCGAGCGUUAAUCGGAAUUACUGGGCGUAAAGCGUGCGCAGGCGGUUGUGUAAGACAGGUGUGAAAUCCCCGGGCUUAACCUGGGAACUGCGCUUGUGACUGCACGGCUAGAGUAUGGCAGAGGGGGGUGGAAUUCCACGUGUAGCAGUGAAAUGCGUAGAGAUGUGGAGGAACACCGAUGGCGAAGGCAGCCCCCUGGGCCAAUACUGACGCUCAUGCACGAAAGCGUGGGGAGCAAACAGGAUUAGAUACCCCAGUAGUCC